UGGGGAAUAUUGCACAAUGGGCGCAAGCCUGAUGCAGCCAUGCCGCGUGUAUGAAGAAGGCCUUCGGGUUGUAAAGUACUUUCAGCGGGGAGGAAGGCGAUAAGGUUAAUAACCUUGUCGAUUGACGUUACCCGCAGAAGAAGCACCGGCUAACUCCGUGCCAGCAGCCACGGUAAUACGGAGGGUGCAAGCGUUAAUCGGAAUUACUGGGCGUAAAGCGCACGCAGGCGGUCUGUCAAGUCGGAUGUGAAAUCCCCGGGCUCAACCUGGGAACUGCAUUCGAAACUGGCAGGCUAGAGUCUUGUAGAGGGGGGUAGAAUUCCAGGUGUAGCGGUGAAAUGCGUAGAGAUCUGGAGGAAUACCGGUGGCGAAGGCGGCCCCCUGGACAAAGACUGACGCUCAGGUGCGAAAGCGUGGGGAGCAAACA
Molecule: ribosomal RNA, 427 nt
Filed under: uncultured bacterium
Lineage: Bacteria
Description: partial 16S ribosomal RNA
Rfam family: Bacterial small subunit ribosomal RNA
Source: RNAcentral